CNGGAAGACCUACUCUUCAGCAAUCUCACC
Molecule: non-coding RNA, 30 nt
Filed under: Mus musculus (house mouse)
Lineage: Eukaryota; Metazoa; Chordata; Mammalia; Rodentia; Muridae
Source: RNAcentral